Long non-coding RNA from Zalophus californianus (California sea lion), 877 nucleotides. RefSeq lists it as uncharacterized. The record is from RefSeq and is a predicted model, not a curated record. NCBI's taxonomy places the organism in Eukaryota, Metazoa, Chordata, Mammalia, Carnivora, Otariidae. The transcript has 4 exons.
CUCUGGGCCUGCAAGGGUGUCCCUGUCCGUAUCUGCCCCCAGGGUCCCCAUUCGGAGGGUUGGCUAGGAGGGCGUUCUGAGAAGCUCGAGGAAGUUGAAGGCCCGGAGGCGGAAGCAGAGUAUGGGAAGGCCCGGGGUCAGGCCAGUGAGGGCCUCAGAGAUCGAGCCCACGCCCACCUCCUUUCCUCCAGCGGGCGCAGUUGGGCCCCGCGGGCUCGGAGCCCGAGUCUGAGCAAGAGUUGGCCCGGUACCCGCCAGGUGCGCUGCGCGGGAUGGCAACGAGGCGGGGCGGCCCCCGGAGCGCUGGUCCGGCUGGAGGGCGAGUCACGUGAGCUGGGGAUGUCCGACCCACGAUCUGGAAUCCAGGGCAAACGGGAGGUAUUGAGAAAAAAAUAAACUACACCCCUCACUGCUGUGAAAAGAAGAGACCAUCCAGGAACAGGUGUGGAGUCGGAGCCGGCGAGGAAGCCACCGUGAAGGUCAAGGUGAAUGCGGUGGGCUGCGAAGGGUAGAAUCCAGAAAGAAGCUGACCUUUCAUCUGAGUCAGAGAAAGGAGAUGGCCAGGGCAGAAGCAAGGGCCAGAGACUGAGGAGACUGGACACAUAAGGGUCCCCUUCUUUCCUCCAACACCAUUCUUGGGACUCAAAGAAGUGACUUUCAACCUCCCAUGAUUCAUGAAGGUGAAAGUAGGAGCCCUUCUCAGCAUGUCCGCUACAUCUCAGAGGCAAAGGGGGCCUCAGAACACAUCUGGACUCCUCUGUGUUUUGAGCAGGCAAUACUAUUAUGUUUAGGAAAAGAAAACACUGCCCUGCACCUUCCUCCCAGCCCACCCAAGGAGUACCUGGCCAGUGUGGAAAAUUUAGGAUGUAUGGGUAGG